This 497-nucleotide ribosomal RNA is filed under the name uncultured bacterium. RNAcentral describes it as "partial 16S ribosomal RNA". It matches the Rfam family "Bacterial small subunit ribosomal RNA", at positions 28 to 507 of the family's 1533-position model. The record is from RNAcentral.
GAUGAACGCUGGCGGCGUGCCUAAUACAUGCAAGUCGAGCGAACAGAUAAGGAGCUUGCUCCUUUGACGUUAGCGGCGGACGGGUGAGUAACACGUGGGUAACCUACCUAUAAGACUGGAAUAACUCCGGGAAACCGGGGCUAAUGCCGGAUAACAUUUAGAACCGCAUGGUUCUAAAGUGAAAGAUGGUUUUGCUAUCACUUAUAGAUGGACCCGCGCCGUAUUAGCUAGUUGGUAAGGUAACGGCUUACCAAGGCAACGAUACGUAGCCGACCUGAGAGGGUGAUCGGCCACACGGGAACUGAGACACGGUCCAGACUCCUACGGGACGCAGCAGUAGGGUACCUUACGCAAUGGGCGAAAGCCUGACGGAGCAACGCCGCGUGAGUGAUGAAGGUCUUCGGAUCGUAAAACCCUGUUAUUAGGGAAGAACAAAUGUGUAAGUAACUGUGCACGUCUUGACGGUACCUAAUCAGAAAGCCACGGCUAACUACGUG